UUAUGAUGAGAAAUUGUUUCCUGGGGGAGAGGGGUUGCAUCCUGAGCUGUGAGGGCUCUGACGGGAAACUGGUUCUUUCCACAAAAGUCCUGGCUUUUCCUCAGCUUCUUCAUGUGCGUCCAAAGCAAGAGGGAAAAAAGAGGGAGAAAGGGGAAUCAGGAAGAAUUUCCAGCUUCAAGGACAUAAAAGCUCUCCUCUCCUUGCGUUGGAGGGCUGCUGCUCCCUCUGUAUAGUCACCCUUCUCCUUUCGCCUGGACAACUUCUCCUCAUUUUUAAGAUGCAUCAAGAUAGAACUCACGGCCGGCAGAUUACUUGAGCCCAGGAGGUCCCGGACCAGCCUGGGCAACAUGACGAAGCCCCAUCUCUACAAAAAACACAGAAGCUAUCCAGGUGUAGUGGCACACGUCUGUGGUCCCAGUUACUCAGGAGGCUGAGAUUGGCACCAACGCAGCUCUUCAAGAUGGCUCCUGGCUUCCUUUGGAAUCCAAUCAUCAGACCUCCCAGAUAAUAUCAAGGAAUUGAAACUCAGCAGCUGGACAAUGAGGAACCAGGCUUCUCACCCAUCAUGGUUGCCUAACCAACCACCUGCUUCCUGUUGACCAACUUCUCUUAUUUAUCAUUCCCCCCCAUCCUGUUUUCCUGUAUGUAGUUACAUUUCUGCUAUGAAAACUCCUAAUUUUAGUUGAUCAGGGAGAUAGAUUUGAGACUCAUCUCUCAUCUCCUCAGCUGCA
This is a long non-coding RNA of Symphalangus syndactylus (siamang), 731 nucleotides long. RefSeq lists it as uncharacterized. NCBI's taxonomy places the organism in Eukaryota, Metazoa, Chordata, Mammalia, Primates, Hylobatidae. The record is from RefSeq and is a predicted model, not a curated record.